UGAAAAACCAGAUUCAUGCACAACACAGAAUACUGUACAAGAUGCUCUCACUAUCAUAUUUGGUCCUGACAAGAAUGGUAGAUCAUUAGCUAAUGGGAGGGGAGUAACUAAUACAAAGUUAGCUAUUCUAAGAGCAAGAGAUGACCAUAUUUCACAAUUGGAAUCAAGUCAAUGUGAGAUGAAGAAUAAAAUGUCUGAGAUGAUGAAUCUUAUUAAUACUAUUGCAAAAAGUGUAAACAUUCAGGGGUUUACUCAACCAAGUGAAGCGGAGUCACACAUGCCUUCUCCUAUGAGUGUUAAUAAUCUGAAGUUCACUCCUGAAAACAAUGCUUGCAAUUUACUUGAUUGGAAUGGAAGUGGAGAAAUUGUUG
Humulus lupulus (European hop) is the source of this 371-nucleotide long non-coding RNA. RefSeq lists it as uncharacterized. The transcript has 3 exons. The record is from RefSeq and is a predicted model, not a curated record. NCBI's taxonomy places the organism in Eukaryota, Viridiplantae, Streptophyta, Magnoliopsida, Rosales, Cannabaceae.